Molecule: ribosomal RNA, 468 nt
Filed under: uncultured bacterium
Lineage: Bacteria
Description: partial 16S ribosomal RNA
Rfam family: Bacterial small subunit ribosomal RNA
Source: RNAcentral
GACGAACGCUGGCGGCGUGCUUAACACAUGCAAGUCGAACGGAAAGGCCCUGCUUUUGUGGGGUUCUCGAGUGGCGAACGGGUGAGUAACACGUGAGUAACCUGCCCUUGACUUUGGGAUAACUUCAGGAAACUGGGGCUAAUACCGGAUAGGAUCUCCUGCUGCAUGGUGGGGGUUGGAAAUUUUCGGCGGUUGGGGAUGGACUCGCGGCUUAUCAGCUUGUUGGUUGGGUAGUGGCUUACCAAGGCUUUGACGGGUAGCCGGCCUGGGAGGGUGACCGGCCACAUUGGGACUGAGAUACGGACCAGAAUCCAACGGGAGGCAGCAGUGGGGAAUAUUGCACAAUGGGCGGAAGCCUGAUGCAGCAACGCCGCGUGCGGGAUGACGGCCUUCGGGUUGUAAACCGCUUUCGGCUGUGACGAAGCGUGAGUGACGGUAAUGGGUAAAGAAGCACCGGCUAACUACGUG